This is a long non-coding RNA of Helianthus annuus (common sunflower), 651 nucleotides long. RefSeq lists it as uncharacterized. The transcript is spliced from 3 exons. Lineage: Eukaryota; Viridiplantae; Streptophyta; Magnoliopsida; Asterales; Asteraceae. The record is from RefSeq and is a predicted model, not a curated record.
GUGAAUGGAAUAAAGCAUUACAUACCCCAUUCCAUUCCUUCUAAAAUUGUUGAAAUCUAUUCCUGGCCUACCCCCAGUUUUUUCUCAUUCCAUUCAAUAACAAAAUGUUGUUUCUCUAUUUUGCCCCCAUCUUCACCGAUUACCCCUCCCCUUCCAUCAUUAUCUGAUUUGCACAUCCUCUAAACAAGGAAUGGAUUAUGAUUUUGGUUGUAUAUGUCGCCAUCUUCAUAGAGCAGACGUCACUCCUCUGGAACCCUAAUUUGCCCACUUCAUUGUGAUUUUCGUCAUCAGACACAAAAUCAGAUAACAGCUGUGUUAUCAUUGUGGUUGCUGGUGUUGGACCUUUACCAUAAAAGUUCAAACAGUUAUUCGAAGAGAAAUGGCAUAUGAUCCUUUUGAUGAUGAUGAGUUUAUUGACACAAAUAAUGAUGCGGAUGACGAAGAUCUUGGCUCAAAUGUGGAACAUAUUACAACAGUUGGGACCUCGAAUGAAUGGAUAAACUUCAGACAAAAUUUAGCAACAUCUAUGUUUAAUGCAUGGACUUCUAGACAUCAUUGAUUUAUUAGACCAUUACUUUUUAGUUAUGUUAUUUUGGUAAUGUUUAUUAAAUGUUUUUUGUUAGAAUAAAUCUGAAUGUUUUUAUGUGUUUG